UACAGAGGUGGCGAGCGUUAUUCGGAAUUAUUGGGCGUAAAGGGCGCGUAGGCGGCUAGACAAGUCUCGGGUGAAAUCCCUCGGCUCAACCGAGGAACUGCCCUGGAAACUGUCUGGCUUGAGGCCGGGAGAGGGUAGUGGAAUUCCCAGUGUAGCGGUGAAAUGCGUAGAUACUGGGAGGAACACCGGUGGCGAAGGCGGCUACCUGGACCGGUUCUGACGCUGAUGCGCGAAAGCGUGGGUAGCAAACAGG
Molecule: ribosomal RNA, 253 nt
Filed under: uncultured bacterium
Lineage: Bacteria
Description: partial 16S ribosomal RNA
Rfam family: Bacterial small subunit ribosomal RNA
Source: RNAcentral